GAUUAGUGGCGAACGGGUGAGUAACACGUGGGCAAUCUGCCCUUCACUCUGGGACAAGCCCUGGAAACGGGGUCUAAUACCGGAUAACACUCCUGCCCGCAUGGGUGGGGGUUAAAAGCUCCGGCGGUGAAGGAUGAGCCCGCGGCCUAUCAGCUUGUUGGUGAGGUAGUGGCUCACCAAGGCGACGACGGGUAGCCGGCCUGAGAGGGCGACCGGCCACACUGGGACUGAGACACGGCCCAGACUCCUACGGGAGGCAGCAGUGGGGAAUAUUGCACAAUGGGCGAAAGCCUGAUGCAGCGACGCCGCGUGAGGGAUGACGGCCUUCGGGUUGUAAACCUCUUUCAGCAGGGAAGAAGCGAAAGUGACGGUACCUGCAGAAGAAGCGCCGGCUAACUACGUGCCAGCAGCCGCGGUAAUACGUAGGGCGCAAGCGUUGUCCGGAAUUAUUGGGCGUAAAGAGCUCGUAGGCGGCUUGUCACGUCGGGUGUGAAAGCCCGGGGCUUAACCCCGGGUCUGCAUUCGAUACGGGCUAGCUAGAGUGUGGUAGGGGAGAUCGGAAUUCCUGGUGUAGCGGUGAAAUGCGCAGAUAUCAGGAGGAACACCGGUGGCGAAGGCGGAUCUCUGGGCCAUUACUGACGCUGAGGAGCGAAAGCGUGGGGAGCGAACAGGAUUAGAUACCCUGGUAGUCCACGCCGUAAACGGUGGGAACUAGGUGUUGGCGACAUUCCACGUCGUCGGUGCCGCAGCUAACGCAUUAAGUUCCCCGCCUGGGGAGUACGGCCGCAAGGCUAAAACUCAUAGGAAUUGACGGGGGCC
RNAcentral lists this ribosomal RNA (819 nucleotides) under Streptomyces rhizosphaerihabitans. RNAcentral's name for it is "bacterial SSU rRNA". It matches the Rfam family "Bacterial small subunit ribosomal RNA", at positions 90 to 921 of the family's 1533-position model. The record is from RNAcentral. Lineage: Bacteria; Bacillati; Actinomycetota; Actinomycetes; Kitasatosporales; Streptomycetaceae.